Cucumis sativus (cucumber) is the source of this 458-nucleotide long non-coding RNA. RefSeq lists it as uncharacterized. The transcript is spliced from 2 exons. The record is from RefSeq and is a predicted model, not a curated record. NCBI's taxonomy places the organism in Eukaryota, Viridiplantae, Streptophyta, Magnoliopsida, Cucurbitales, Cucurbitaceae.
AACAGCAGAGACCAUAGCUUCCAUCCGGCGACCACGAUCCGAGCUCAAGACGGAAGCGUACUCCGUACGAACGGGCGGAGGCAGCUACCACAGUUCCUUCUUCUAUCGCUCACGAACCAUCGGACAGAGACGGUGUUUGGACGGCGGCAGAACCAUCAAAAGGCUUUGAUAAAUAUGUACAACACAUGUGGUGUUUUGUAACGAGGAGAUAGGCAGACCAAAUGUGGAAGAUGGGGAAUUUCUUUAGCAAAGGGGGAUUAAGAAGUUUUGCAAAGAGAAAUUGAAGAGGACUAAAGCCUCUGGUGUUCCAUUUGUCCCAAAGUUCUUUUGAUGUGUGGUGGAAUUACAUAGAAAGUUUAAUUUUUUUAAAAGGUCAAAGAUAUAGAGUAUGUAUUCGAAAGUUUUCACUAAAAUCGUAACUGGUUUUUAAGUUCAAUUAAGAAAUUAGUUCAUGUUCA